GGUUUCGUGGUGUAACGGUAGCACACUCAGCUUGUAUUCGAGAGGUCCAGGUUCGAAUCCCAGUGAAGGCA
RNAcentral lists this transfer RNA (71 nucleotides) under Stegodyphus mimosarum. It matches the Rfam family "tRNA". From Rfam's summary of the family: Transfer RNA (tRNA) molecules are approximately 80 nucleotides in length. Their secondary structure includes four short double-helical elements and three loops (D, anti-codon, and T loops). Further hydrogen bonds mediate the characteristic L-shaped molecular structure. tRNAs have two regions of fundamental functional importance: the anti-codon, which is responsible for specific mRNA codon recognition, and the 3' end, to which the tRNAs corresponding amino acid is attached (by aminoacyl-tRNA synthetases). tRNAs cope with the degeneracy of the genetic code in two manners: having more than one tRNA (with a specific anti-codon) for a particular amino acid; and 'wobble' base-pairing, i.e. permitting non-standard base-pairing at the 3rd anti-codon position. The record is from Rfam by way of RNAcentral. Lineage: Eukaryota; Metazoa; Arthropoda; Arachnida; Araneae; Eresidae.